RNAcentral lists this ribosomal RNA (568 nucleotides) under Coccomyxa parasitica. RNAcentral describes it as "SSU rRNA". It matches the Rfam family "Eukaryotic small subunit ribosomal RNA", at positions 250 to 823 of the family's 1831-position model. The record is from RNAcentral. Lineage: Eukaryota; Viridiplantae; Chlorophyta; Trebouxiophyceae; Coccomyxaceae.
AUCAUGAUAACUCCACGAAUCGCAUGGCCCAGCGCCGGCGAUGUUUCAUUCAAAUUUCUGCCCUAUCAACUUUCGACGGUAAGGUAUUGGCUUACCGUGGUGGUAACGGGUGACGGAGGAUUAGGGUUCGAUUCCGGAGAGGGAGCCUGAGAAACGGCUACCACAUCCAAGGAAGGCAGCAGGCGCGCAAAUUACCCAAUCUUGACACAAGGAGGUAGUGACAAUAAAUAACAAUACCGGGGUUAUUCAACUCUGGUAAUUGGAAUGAGUACAAUCUAAACCCCUUAACGAGGAUCAAUUGGAGGGCAAGUCUGGUGCCAGCAGCCGCGGUAAUUCCAGCUCCAAUAGCGUAUAUUUAAGUUGUUGCAGUUAAAAAGCUCGUAGUUGGAUUUCGGACGGGCCCGGCCGGUCCGCCUCACGGUGUGCACUGACCGGGCCCGUCCUGCUGCCGGGGACGGGCUCCUGGGCUUCACUGUCCGGGACUCGGAGUCGGCGAGGUUACUUUGAGUAAAUUAGAGUGUUCAAAGCAGGCAUCCGCCUUGAAUACGUUAGCAUGGAAUAACACGAU